GAUGAACGCUGGCGGCGUGCCUAAUACAUGCAAGUCGAGCGAACAGAUGAGAAGCUUGCUUCUCUGAUGUUAGCGGCGGACGGGUGAGUAACACGUGGGUAACCUACCUAUAAGACUGGGAUAACUCCGGGAAACCGGGGCUAAUACCGGAUAAUAUUUUGAACCGCAUGGUUCGAUAGUGAAAGACGGUUUCGGCUGUCACUUAUAGAUGGACCCGCGCCGUAUUAGCUAGUUGGUAAGGUAACGGCUUACCAAGGCGACGAUACGUAGCCGACCGGAGAGGGUGAGCGGCCACACUGGAACUGAGACACGGUCCAGACGCCCACGGGAGGCAGCAGUAGGGAAUCUUCCGAAAUGGGCGAAAGCCUGACGGAGCCACGCCGCGUGAGUGAUGAAGGUCUUCGGAUCGUAAAACUCUGUUGUUAGGGAAGAACAAAUUUGUUAGUAACUGAACAAGUCUUGACGGUACCUAACCAGAAAGCCACGGCUAACUACGUGCCAGCCGCCGCCGUAA
RNAcentral lists this ribosomal RNA (514 nucleotides) under uncultured bacterium. Its description in RNAcentral is "partial 16S ribosomal RNA". It matches the Rfam family "Bacterial small subunit ribosomal RNA", at positions 28 to 523 of the family's 1533-position model. The record is from RNAcentral.